UAUCUCUUCUAAAAGACCCGUAAAAAAAAUAGAAUAAAAGGAUUGCUCCAUCCUGCAACGUGUUUGGAAGUUUCUUUCUCGGCGGGACAAUCCGACAAUCCCUCAAAUACUCCUGAGAGAGAGAGAGAGAGAGAUAGAGAGAUUUGGGGAACUCAGAAAUGGGGGAAUCCAAUGAAGAACUGGAACCGCUUUUUGAUUACAGACGUGUUCAGCCCUUCAAUACUCCCUUCAAUCUUGUCUGCCUUGACGAUGACAGUCCAGACUCGUCUCCAGUAAUCUCAAAGAAACGGAAAGUGAACGAUUCUGCUGUCGAAAGGAAAGAAGAGGAAGUUGUUCAAAUAAUUGAUGGUGAAGAAGAGGAUUGGCUGCCACCUUCCCCAAACAUUUCUGCUCAUACUUGUAACCUUGUUGAAGAUUCAACUAUAAAGGAAAUUAGGUUGAAAAAGAAAGAGCUGGAAUCCAUUGCCCACUCAGCUAAGGAUGAGUUCCGAGAUGUUGAAGAAUCUGUAAAAAGAGAUCUUUGUGCUUCCCUCCAUUCUAUUCAAGAUAGUGUUGCUGAGCCGCCAUCAAAACCCCCAACUAAAAGAGCUAAAAUAGUUAUUUCUAUCCAGGACAAGGAUGGAGCAAAACAAUUUCGAGUUUACAUGGAUGAUAAAUUUGAGAGGCUGUUCAAAUCGUAUGCUGAUAAAGUCAAGCUUGAUCUGAAAAAUUUGGUUUUCUGCUUUGAUGGGGAUAAAAUUAAUCCUACUGCAACUCCCAGUAGCCUCGGGAUGGAGGAUGAUGACAUCAUUGAAGUGCAUGUAAAACCAAGUUGUUGAGGAUUAAAAGAGUUCUAGAGAUGGGUGGAAAAAGAACAAGGAAGAAGGAAGGUUUCACUUUAUCCUGCAGCUGAAGGUGACUUAAUUGGUGAAGUUAACAUUGCAGACUGUUUGCAUCCUGUUUUUCUAUGCUUUUGGUGGUCAGACUAAUGUCCUGCCAACUGUACAGUAGGGGCUCUUCUUUUUUUUUUUUUGGUGGGCGGGAAGGAAUUUCACAUAAUAGUUGUUUUAAAAGAAUUUUUUUCUUAACGUUGGGAGAUAAUGCUUUUCCUAUAAUUGCUUUUUGUUUUUGUUUGAGGGGAGAAACAAGGUCUCCCCUCUUCAAUGCAUUAUCAAUUAUCUGAAUGCUGAAAAAGCUUUGAUCAUGUGCAAAGACGAUGAUCUUUCAUCAUGUAGACAACAAAAGUAUAAUCAUGGUUUAGCGUCUGAACUCUGAA
RNA transcript from Nicotiana attenuata, 1255 nucleotides. RefSeq lists it as uncharacterized. The transcript is spliced from 8 exons. NCBI's taxonomy places the organism in Eukaryota, Viridiplantae, Streptophyta, Magnoliopsida, Solanales, Solanaceae. The record is from RefSeq and is a predicted model, not a curated record.